CCCCCUUCAAGUUGGCGAGGGAAGAAUGAACCCCCAACUUGCUCAGAAGCUCACGAUAAGAAGACCCAGAAAGAGGUUAGUAAAGAUGUCCGCUAACUGAGAACGAGUGGGAAGAAAAAAAAGAGAGAAAUGAGGCCAGAUUGAAACUGCUGACGGACGAAAUGGCAAACAAGUUCGAUGUGUUUCGUUCGCUCGUGAAAUAUAGGGUUUUUUGCAAUGUAAAUCGCAGCUUGGCUAUCAGAAUGAAGAGGAAUAGGCAAAGUGGAAGGUACAAAGAGAUAUGUAAGGAGGUAAGACAACCAGGUUAAAUUUGCAACUACACGGCGCAUAAAUCUGUACUCUGCCUUUGCAAUAGACAAAGAAACUGAAGGUUGUUUAUUGGAUUUCCAAAAAAUGGGACAACCACCCAAACUGAUAAAGAAACCACUGACGGAGUGACGGAAUUAGGACAAGUUAAUUCCCCUAAUCGGAGUCACAAAAAGUAAGAAAUCAAAAGAAGGGGAAGAGGUCACGAAAAGUCCAAGACCAGGGUCAUUGAGAAGAUAGCGAAGGCAAUGCAUGGCAGCAUCCAUAUGGGGAGAACGACAAUCUUUCAUAAAUUGGGAAAGGUAUUGAACAACAAAGGAAAGAUUCGACCUAGUGUGAGUCAAGAAAUUGAGCUUACAAAGAAGCUGACGGUAAAAAGAAGGAUUAGAAAGAUGAGGGCUAACCCCGGCAAACAACUUAUGAUUUGGAGCCAAAGGUGAAUUUACCGGAGAAAGGUCCAGACAAGAAAAUUCAGUGAGCAACUCAAGGGAAAACUUGUGUUGGCUAAUGACCAAACCAGUGGGCUCCCGCAAAAUCUCCAUACCCAGAAAAAAAGAUAAGUGCCCCAAAUCUUUGAUUUCAAAUUCAACAUCUAGAAACUGUUUCAAUUUGUUCAAUUCUUGCUCAUUAUUGCCAGUGAAAAGGAUAUCAUCAACGUACACUGCCAUCAAAUUUAAGUUUCACCUUGUAAAGCCAUUUACAGAGCUAAGCCUUUCUCCUAGGCAGUAGAGAUACUACUUCCCAAGUCUCAUUGGCCAAUAAAGCAUCUAGUUCCUUAGCCAUGGCUUCUUGCCAGGCAAGAUGGGUAACAACCUGAGAAAAUGAGCUAGGUUCCUGAAUAUAGGAGAUAGAAUUAACAAGUUGUCGAUUGGAAGAAGAAAGGACAGAAGGAAGAACAUUAGGAGAUAUAUAUAUAUGAAAGAAAAUGUGGAGUAGAGACAUUUGUAAGAUGUACAACACCACAGGUAAAAUCAGGUAAAAUCUGAAAGGUAGGAAGGUGUCUUAUGUUCUCUUAAGGGCCUGCGCAAAGGGGUUUCAGAAGGAAUAGGAGAAGGUGAAUGAUGAAUAGGUGAAAGAGGAGAAAGGAUAGUGGUUGAGAAAGGUGAAGGUGCAGAACCAAAAGAUGAUGGGGUAGAGGAUGACCUGGAUAUAGGAAGAGGAGAGGAAGAAUUAGAAGGAAGGAGAGGAGAAGAGGAAGACCUAAAAGAUGAAUCAACAACAUGUGGAGAACUAGAAGUAGGGGCAGAAGUAGGAGAUGAGGAAGGUAUAGAGAGAGGAUAGGAAGAAAAAGGUACAGUAGGGGAAUCAGAAAAUAGUAGAGGAGAAAUAGAAGGCAGAAUAGAGAAGGGAAAUAUAGAUUCGUGGAAAACAACAUUCCUAUAAAUAAAGAUAUGGUUAGUUUGCAACUUCAAUAACUUGUAACAUUUCUUGCCAUAGGGGUAACCAAGAAAAAUACAAGCAGUAGCCCAAGAAUCAAGUUUUCCUAUGUGAUAGGACAGAGUAGAUGCAAACAUAGGCAACCAAAACAUUUAAGAAAAUUAUAAUUAGGAGAUUUUCCAAAAAGAAUCUCAUAUGGUGUUUUGCAAGAAGCAAUUUAGUAGGAUAUCUGUUGAUAAGGAAAGUGGUUGUCAAGAGACACUCACCCCUAGUAUAUAGUAGGAACUUUAGAUUAAAAUAGCAAAGUCUACAAGUUUCAAGCAAGUGUUUGUGUUUCCUUUCAACAAUACUAUUUUGUUGAGGGGUGGUCACACAACUAGUUUGGUAAAGAUUACAUUUGGAUUGAAAAUAGAUGGUAGCAUCAGAACCACUCCCCAACUCUAAGGUAUUAUCAUAUCUAAUGACUUUAAUUUUGGUGACAAAUUACCUUACUACCAUAGCAAUAAAAGAUUUGAGAACACUAAAAGCAUUUCCUUUGGUGCUUAAAAGAUAGGUCCAAGUACCCCUACUAAAAUUAUCAACUAUAGUAAGGAAGUACUUAAAACCAUCAUAGGUUUAUAAGAAGGCAUUCAUUCCAGUAUAUCAGUUGCUCUUUGAGAUGGUUAAUAAAGUGUUGCUUCCCCACGCUGAGAGAAGAUUUAUUGCAUCUAAAGUUGACAUGUUCCUUAUGGAAGCCUUGGAAAAUCUUACCACCAUCAAUCUGCCUGGCAUAAUGAUUGAGCAUAUGCAGAAGGUGACAAAUCUUAAGGAUGGGAAUCCUGAGUUACUUUAUGGUUUUCUUCUCACAAAGGUCUUUGAGUUCUUCAAAGUACCUCUGGGACAGGCCAAAAUGGGCACUAAAGAGUAAUCCUUUUCAAAAAAUACUUUUGAGAAGUGUGAGUGCAUUGACAAGGUCGGAGGAGUUGGAAGCACUUCCACUAUCUCUCAGCUGAUAAAUGCUCAGAAUAUUGCCACAGAGGAGAUCUGAAAGUUGAAGGCUAGGAACACGAUUCUUGAGAGUCAGCUUAGUCAGUUACAAGAGGCACCUAGUUCUAGUAGUUCUCAUAGUUCAGAGGUUGCACGCCUAAUAAAGGAGAAUGCUGAACUCAAAAAAUAGAUGGAGGACCUGAAAGAAAGACUGCUCAAUGAGCAAAUGUCCGCAAAUGCUCGCAUGGAUCUUGUCCUCUAAACCCUUGCUUCCUCUUCAAAGCCCCCUUCCUCCAGUGUCCCCUAAAGGAUGUCCCCUUAGUGUCAAGUUUUCAGUGUCCAUCUUCUUAGUUGUAAUUAUUUCUGGUAAUUGUUUUUAUUUGUUUUAAAAUUAUGGAUGAUUACAAUGAUUCUGCUCCCGCCUGUAAAAAUCCAAAUUUGGUUAAUGCAAGUGGUUUUCUUUUGUUGUUUAUGCUACAACUCUUUUGUCUCUGUUCUCUAUCAUGUUGUGUGCACACAAAUGGCAUGAGUUAAUCACGCUAGACUUCUUUAUGCUGCUUACUUGUUCUGUGCUUUUUAUAAUGCCAAAAGGAGGAAUAUUAAAUUGAAUAAUAAAGAGCAUAAACGAAUAAUAAUCCGAAGGGGGAGAAAUACAGACUCAGGGGAAACUCACUAAGGUUCAGGUAUAGAUUAAGGGGAAAACUUAAAGUCUUUCAGGUUCGCUAUCUGGUUCUAUGUGGCUCUUUAUGGGAUUUUCAAUUAUGAGUUUGUCUUUAUCAAAAAGGAAAAAAUUGAUAGGUUACAAGUACCUUGGUCAUAAGUACUUUAUUUUAUGUUUUGAUUAUCUAACAAACUUACUAUCCAGUACCAGAUAAGGAACAUGUUACACAUUUACAAGACCUUAAGAUCACAAGGUUCCAGCUUGUGAUACGGAAAAUUUUAAAGUAGAAGGAACAACUGAGGGAAUAGGUCCCUACCAGUUCCCGGAGAGAUUGUACGAAGCCAACUCUCCAGUUGGAAAGUUGCUGCUUGCACACGCUACAGUACAGGAACAGUGUAUCAAUCAACUUUCUGAGGAAGACUUUUUACCUACCUUACUUACAUCAUUGUAUGUGAGGUCACACAUAUAUUAUUAACAUCAAGGGAGGUAAAACACAUUCACUUGAACACUUAGAGUUUUUACUUAAGCUCUCUCACAUGAUCAUCCAGGAAGUAAUUCUCAAGUGCAUCAAGAACAAAGAACAAAACAACUACGGACCAAUUCCCACAUUAAGUUAUUGUAUGUCCUUAGUUGAGCUAUAACUUUGUAAUAGUUCUUCAAGUGUAAUUCCUACCUAGCUUGUUUAGAAGCAUUCUGUAGGAAACCCUUUGUAAACCUUAAACCCGUGUGUUUGAGUCUUGGAUAGAGUUAGUCAAGUUAUAAAGUCUUUGUAAUAGAGUUGUUACAAAGUAGCAUGUAAUAUAGUGUUACAAGUUAGUGAGGGAUUAAGAGGUUAAUUCCUAGGUUGCAUGGGUUGUAAUCUAAAAGAUGCUCGGUAGUGAAGUUGAAAUCCUACAAGGAUAGGUCGUGGUUUUUAAUCCCGUUGAGCUGAAAAUUUUCCACGUAAAAUUCCUCUUGUCAUUUAUUUACUGCAGUGUGCGUGACCUGAUUCUCUAUAGAGUUUGGUGGACCCUUAUAUUCUAUCACCAUAGAUUACCACAUGAAAUUUUAGCUAGAUAAUAAAGUGCAAACAGACUGAUAACAAUUAUUUAUAGAUGAUAAGUUUGUCUUAUUUGUGUGCAUGUGAUAAAAUUGGGUGAAAAGUUUGCAUCAGAUAGAGCACAUCUUUCACUCUACCAGGAUCCAGAGACCUCCUCAAGGAAGGGCCCUAUAAGAAAGAAGAAGUAGCAGAGAAGGUAAGCAAGUUGUUAAAUUUUGAACAUAAUUUCUGAACUGAUAAUAGGUUGAAUUUGAAACUAAGAACUAAAAGGACUUUGUUUAGAGUUAAUUUAGGAUGAAUACAAGAUUAACCUGCAUGAGUGACUUUAAUCCUAAAAGAGUUAGGUAGAUUUACAAAAACAGGCUGUUGUAAGGGCUUAAUGUUGAAUAAAAUGGACUCAUCAAAUAUGAUAUGUUCUGAAGCCCCAGAGUCAAGUAUCCAAAAAUGAUAGAUAGAGUUUUUAGGAAUAGUUAAGAUAGUAAAGGAAGUAAUACCAGCAUAGUUAACUAUCACAUUUGUUUCAGAACUAGAUGUGCCUUGUUGUCCAAUUUUAACCUGGUGUAGUAUCUCCAUCAACUCGGAAAUUUUCUCCUGAUUCAAUUCAAUACUAACAUCAGUGCUUGGAGACUGAGUAGUUCUGCUUGAGUAUUUAUUGUAUUACUACGUAGGGCUGUGCAUUUGGAUCGGAUAUCCGAAAUCCGAUCCGAUCCACUCUAUUUCGGAUUUUCGGAUUUCAAAUUUCGGAUUUUCGGAUUGGAUACGGAUUGUGUUUUAUGAAAUUUCGGAUUUUCGGAUUGGAUUCGGAUUGGUAUGAUUUUAAUCCGAUCCGAUCCGAUAUCCGAAAUUAUAUGUACCUAUAUAAAUACACACUAAAAUUUUAGGGUUAUGCUUAUUCAUUUUUCACACACCCCCUCACUCACUUAGAUUUUUCUGCCUCUCUUGCACCUCUCUUCUCUUCAGUGAAGACUAAAAGAGUCUCAAUGACUCAAACUUCCGAUUUUACUUUGAUUUUAUGUCUCUUUCUUCCGCCUCUCUUCUCUUCUCUUUUGUCUUUUAUGUCUAUUUCAUGUUCUAUUCUUCAACUUUUGAUUUUAUUUUGAUUUUUUUGUUUGUUUUGGUAGAUGGAAGAUGAGAUAGAGACACCGAAUGAACUUUAAAUUGUUGAAAUUUUUUGUGACAAUCCGAUCCGACAAUCCGAAAAAUUAUCCGAUCCAAAGUUUAAAAUCCGAUCCAAUCCAAUGUUAAUUCAGAUCGGAUUCGGAUUGCCCUUUUCAGAAUCCGAAAUCCGAAUCCGAAAUAGGCUAAAUCCGAUCCAAUCCGAUCCGUGCACAGCCCUAUUACUACGUGCUGAAUUAUAGAAUAUUGACUGUGUAUUCUGCCUUGGUUUUUGUUCUUAAAACCUCCUUAUUGAAAAUUUGUGGGAUAACCAUGGAGUUUGAAAUAUUUUUCCAUAGUAUGUCCUGGCCUUUUGUAAUACUUGCAACUAGAAUUGUUUCUCUUGUAGCCCUGAUAGGAGUUUGGCUUUGAGGUGUUGUUAGAUGCCCCUUGCUGCAGAUUGAACCUCUGAUUUCCUUGCCCUAGGAUGGAUGAUUGUCUAACAACAGAGAAAGAACUAGACUUUGUAGGUAAAUUCCCCAUAGGUGGUAUACUCAUUUACCUCUCCUCUUGUAGUAACAGAAAGUAUGCUCGAUCAAUGUCUAAUGAGGAAUUCAUCAUUAUUAUGUUACCUCUGAAAGCAGUAUAUGUUCAUUGAGUCCCAUAAAAAAUUGCACUAAUUUUUGUCUGUUCUCAAGUGCACUGUUUUUCUCCACAACUCCACACUUACAAUCAACACAGUUGCAUACUGCCCUAGCAUCGAGUAGAUCAAUUUCAUCCCAUAUAGCUUUCAUGUUAUUAAAAUAUGUCGCGAUAUUGUUUCAUCCUUGUACAGUUUCCAUUAUUUGCUUUUAUAGUUCAAAUAAUUGUGCUAGGUUAGACUGUCCAUAUCUUUUCUCAAGCUAUUUUCACAAAUCAUAUGCAGAUUUGGAGUGAAUUACACUGCAUCUAAUUUCUUUGGUCCCAUCGACGAAACCAAGCUUUCCUCCAUGAUCCAUAUCUAGUGCCGUCAAAAGCAGAAAAUACUAAAGUCAUACAUGUCGAGUCUGAUGCAUGGAGAUAGUAAGGAUGAAGAUGAUCGAUUUUCGCCAUUAGAGGAGGAACAGACGCAGCAGAUUCACUGGAAGCAGAAUCCUCAGUCAAGACCAUAUUCAACCAAAAAAAUCAAAGAACAUUUGAGAUUUCUAGAAGUUUCUGUCGAAGUCGAAAAUGGAUCUGGUGAAAUUGACUUGCUUAUACGAUAUAAAACUUGGGGAAGAAGAAAAUUAGUUUCAUUCUGCUCAAAAUGAGUGUCAUAUUAUAUACACGCAUCAAUUAACCUAACUGACUAUCACGUGUUCACUUAUAUUCCCACAUGUGUAUAAAUAAGUUAUGUUGAGUCUUCACACAAGAAGCUUCUAGAUAUAGAUUCUACGGUUGAGAACAAAACACAUCACUUAAUGAACAAAGGCUUUGAUCAUUC
This is a non-coding RNA of Nicotiana tabacum (common tobacco), 6906 nucleotides long. The record is from RefSeq and is a predicted model, not a curated record. NCBI's taxonomy places the organism in Eukaryota, Viridiplantae, Streptophyta, Magnoliopsida, Solanales, Solanaceae.